This 331-nucleotide unclassified non-coding RNA is filed under the name soil metagenome. RNAcentral's name for it is "partial contains 5.8S ribosomal RNA, internal transcribed spacer 2, and large subunit ribosomal RNA". The stretch from base 1 to 120 matches the Rfam family "5.8S ribosomal RNA", at positions 35 to 154 of the family's 154-position model. The record is from RNAcentral.
GAUGAAGAACGCAGCGAAAUGCGAUAAGUAGUGUGAAUUGCAGAAUUCAGUGAAUCAUCGAAUCUUUGAACGCACAUUGCGCCCGCUAGUAUUCUGGCGGGCAUGCCUGUUCGAGCGUCAUUUCAACCAUCAAGCCCCAGGCUUGCGUUGGGGGCCUGCGGCUGCCGCAGCCCCUGAAAAGCAGUGGCGGGCUCGCUGUCAUUCCGAGCGUAGUAGUUACAUCUCGCUCCGGGCGUGGCGGUGGGCACCUGCCGUGAAACACUCUUUCUAAGGUUGACCUCGGAUCAGGUAGGAAUACCCGCUGAACUUAAGCAUAUCAAUAAGCGGAGGA